This 253-nucleotide ribosomal RNA is filed under the name uncultured bacterium. RNAcentral's name for it is "partial 16S ribosomal RNA". It matches the Rfam family "Bacterial small subunit ribosomal RNA", at positions 524 to 776 of the family's 1533-position model. The record is from RNAcentral.
UACGUAGGGGGCUAGCGUUGUCCGGAAUCAUUGGGCGUAAAGCGCGUGUAGGCGGUCCGGUAAGUCCGCUGUGAAAGUCGGGGGCUCAACCCUCGGAUGCCGGUGGAUACUGUCGGGCUUGAGUACGGAAGAGGCGAGUGGAAUUCCUGGUGUAGCGGUGAAAUGCGCAGAUAUCAGGAGGAACACCAAUGGCGAAGGCAGCUCUCUGGUACGUGACUGACGCUGAGACGCGAAAGCGUGGGUAGCAAACAGG